CGGACGGGUGAGUAACGCGUGGAUAACCUGCCUCACACUGGGGGAUAACAGUUAGAAAUGACUGCUAAUACCGCAUAAGCGCACAGUACCGCAUGGUACAGUGUGAAAAACUCCGGUGGUGUGAGAUGGAUCCGCGUCUGGUUAGCCAGUUGGCGGGGUAACGGCCCACCAAAGCGACGAUCAGUAGCCGACCUGAGAGGGUGACCGGCCACAUUGGGACUGAGACACGGCCCAA
RNAcentral lists this ribosomal RNA (235 nucleotides) under uncultured bacterium. Its description in RNAcentral is "partial 16S ribosomal RNA". It matches the Rfam family "Bacterial small subunit ribosomal RNA", at positions 99 to 334 of the family's 1533-position model. The record is from RNAcentral.